RNAcentral lists this ribosomal RNA (253 nucleotides) under uncultured bacterium. Its description in RNAcentral is "partial 16S ribosomal RNA". It matches the Rfam family "Bacterial small subunit ribosomal RNA", at positions 524 to 776 of the family's 1533-position model. The record is from RNAcentral.
UACGUAGGUGACAAGCGUUGUCCGGAUUUACUGGGCGUAAAGAGCGCGCAGGCGGUCGAUCAAGUCGAGUGUGAAAGCCCCCGGCUCAACUGGGGAGGGUCAUUCGAUACUGAUCGACUCGAAGGCAGGAGAGGGUAGUGGAAUUCCCGGUGUAGCGGUGAAAUGCGCAGAUAUCAGGAGGAACACCAGUGGCGAAGGCGGCUCACUGGCCCGGUACUGACGCUGAGGUGCGAAAGCGUGGGGAGCAAACAGG